This 216-nucleotide ribosomal RNA is filed under the name Glomeromycotina sp. Its description in RNAcentral is "partial small subunit ribosomal RNA". The stretch from base 40 to 216 matches the Rfam family "Eukaryotic small subunit ribosomal RNA", at positions 686 to 864 of the family's 1831-position model. The record is from RNAcentral. Lineage: Eukaryota; Fungi; Glomeromycota.
GGGUCAGUAGGUUGGUCGUGCCACCGGUACGUACUGGUCUCAAUGAUUCCUCCUUCCUGAAGAACCGUAAUGCCAUUAAUUUGGUGUUGCGGGGAAACAGGACUGUUACUUUUAAAAAAUUAGAGUGUUUAAAGCAAGCUAACGCUUGAAUACAUUAGCAUGGAAUAAUGAAAUAGGACGAUCGAUCCUAUUUUGUUGGUUUCUAGGAUUGACGUA